ACAGCCAUACCACAUUGAAAACACAGGUUCUUGUUCGAUCACCGAAGUUAAGCAAUGUCGGGCCCGGUCAGUACUUGGGGGGGUGACUACCUGGGAACACCGGGUGCUGUAGGCU
Molecule: ribosomal RNA, 115 nt
Filed under: Cordylochernes scorpioides
Lineage: Eukaryota; Metazoa; Arthropoda; Arachnida; Pseudoscorpiones; Chernetidae
Source: RNAcentral